RNAcentral lists this ribosomal RNA (539 nucleotides) under Salmonella enterica. RNAcentral describes it as "partial 23S ribosomal RNA". It matches the Rfam family "Bacterial large subunit ribosomal RNA", at positions 962 to 1505 of the family's 2925-position model. The record is from RNAcentral. Lineage: Bacteria; Pseudomonadati; Pseudomonadota; Gammaproteobacteria; Enterobacterales; Enterobacteriaceae.
CCGGAGAAUGUUAUCACGGGAGACACACGGCGGGUGCUAACGUCCGUCGUGAAGAGGGAAACAACCCAGACCGCCAGCUAAGGUCCCAAAGUCAUGGUUAAGUGGGAAACGAUGUGGGAAGGCCCAGACAGCCAGGAUGUUGGCUUAGAAGCAGCCAUCAUUUAAAGAAAGCGUAAUAGCUCACUGGUCGAGUCGGCCUGCGCGGAAGAUGUAACGGGGCUAAACCAUGCACCGAAGCUGCGGCAGCGACACUGUGUGUUGUUGGGUAGGGGAGCGUUCUGUAAGCCUGCGAAGGUGGCCUGUGAGGGUUGCUGGAGGUAUCAGAAGUGCGAAUGCUGACAUAAGUAACGAUAAAGCGGGUGAAAAGCCCGCUCGCCGGAAGACCAAGGGUUCCUGUCCAACGUUAAUCGGGGCAGGGUGAGUCGACCCCUAAGGCGAGGCCGAAAGGCGUAGUCGAUGGGAAACGGGUUAAUAUUCCCGUACUUGGUGUUACUGCGAAGGGGGGACGGAGAAGGCUAUGUUGGCCGGGCGACGGUUGU